CACUAGGAUAGUAUUAAGUAUGAUUUUCAUACUGUUACUGAUAGAAAGUCUGAGUAACUUUCUGUCCUUUUGUCUUUCUUCUGCUGAAGUGGCGCACUGAAAGGGGAGAUUCAUGUCACCUUCAUCAGUCCUUUCUUUAAUCACUGGACACCAUUAAGGGAAAGACCCUCAGACGUGUCAUAAUAGGAUAAAUGCGGCUGCAGUUUUUGACAGAUUGGACUAGUUAACUUACUUCAACAACUUCUGGGUGAGUGUUUGACAAGACAAGGCCUGGUGAGAGCCACUACAGAGGAUCAUAGCCAUUG
This is a long non-coding RNA of Cyprinus carpio (common carp), 305 nucleotides long. RefSeq lists it as uncharacterized. The record is from RefSeq and is a predicted model, not a curated record. The transcript has 3 exons. NCBI's taxonomy places the organism in Eukaryota, Metazoa, Chordata, Actinopteri, Cypriniformes, Cyprinidae.